RNAcentral lists this ribosomal RNA (254 nucleotides) under uncultured bacterium. RNAcentral's name for it is "partial 16S ribosomal RNA". It matches the Rfam family "Bacterial small subunit ribosomal RNA", at positions 524 to 776 of the family's 1533-position model. The record is from RNAcentral.
UACGUAGGGCGCAAGCGUUAUCCGGAAUUAUUGGGCGUAAAGAGCUCGUAGGCGGCUCAGUAAGUCGGGUGUGAAACCUCCAGGCUCAACCUGGAGACGCCACCCGAUACUGCUGUGGCUAGAGUCCAGUAGGGGAGUGUGGAAUUCCCGGUGUAGCGGUGAAAUGCGCAGAUAUCGGGAGGAACACCAGCGGCGAAGGCGGCACUCUGGGCUGGUACUGACGCUGAGGAGCGAAAGCGUGGGUAGCAAACAGG